CCUACGGGUGGCAGCAGUGGGGAAUAUUGCGCAAUGGGGGCAACCCUGACGCAGCAACGCCGCGUGAUUGAAGAAGGCCUUCGGGUUGUAAAGAUCUUUAAUCGUGGACGAAUUUUGACGGUACUCUAAGAAUUAGCACCGGCUAACUACGUGCCAGCAGCCGCGGUAAUACGUAGGGAGCAAGCGUUAUCCGGAUUUACGGGGUGGAAAGGGCGUGUAGGCGGGCAUGCAGGCCAGAAGUGAAAUCUGGCGGCUUAACCCUCAAAUUGCUUUUGAAACUGGGUGUCUUGAGUGAUGGAGAGGCAGGCGGAAUUCGUGGUGUAGCGGUGAAAUGCGUAGAUAUUGGGAGGAACACCAGUGGCGAAGGCGGCCUGCUGGACAGUAACUGACGCUGAGGCGCGAAAGCGUGGGGAGCAAACAGGAUUAGAUACCCUGGUAGUC
This 441-nucleotide ribosomal RNA is filed under the name uncultured bacterium. RNAcentral's name for it is "partial 16S ribosomal RNA". It matches the Rfam family "Bacterial small subunit ribosomal RNA", at positions 338 to 795 of the family's 1533-position model. The record is from RNAcentral.